RNAcentral lists this ribosomal RNA (301 nucleotides) under uncultured bacterium. Its description in RNAcentral is "bacterial SSU rRNA". It matches the Rfam family "Bacterial small subunit ribosomal RNA", at positions 337 to 636 of the family's 1533-position model. The record is from RNAcentral.
UCCUACGGGGGGCAGCAGUGAGGAAUAUUGGUCAAUGGACGCAAGUCUGAACCAGCCAUGCCGCGCGCAGGAUGACGGCUCUAUGAGUUGUAAACUGCUUUUGUACGAGGGUAAACCCCGAUACGUGUAUCGGGUUGAAAGUAUCGUACGAAUAAGGAUCGGCUAACUCCGUGCCAGCAGCCGCGGUAAUACGGAGGAUCCGAGCGUUAUCCGGAUUUAUUGGGUUUAAAGGGUGCGUAGGCGGACAGUCAAGUCAGCGGUAAAAAUGCGGUGCUCAACGCCGUACAGCCGUUGAAACUGG